This is a long non-coding RNA of Drosophila willistoni, 838 nucleotides long. RefSeq lists it as uncharacterized. The transcript has 4 exons. The record is from RefSeq and is a predicted model, not a curated record. Lineage: Eukaryota; Metazoa; Arthropoda; Insecta; Diptera; Drosophilidae.
UCGAGUGUGGCUCUGUGUGCGGUUGAGAGAAUUAAGUCUCUUUUCCUUCUCGAAUUCAAUCUGAAUGCACGUCGAGACCCCUGCACAAACCUAGUGACAAAAAUGGAAGCCAAUAAUAAAAACAACGAUUCAGGAAUCCCUGAAAUCCUCAACUCGCCGAUAUACAUAUUUUAUUAAUAGUAUUCUAAAUCGUGGACUGGCCAAUAAUGAUUACAACAUGCAACUUAAAUCUCGGGUACUGUGUACUACUAAUUUAUCGGCUUCUUACUACUGCUUUCGAUUGCUGAAUGCUGAUACUUCUGACUGCUGCACAUCCACUACUGACUUCACACGAUACCUCACGACUGCUGCUGCGUUGCCAAUCUGCAUAAAGGAGCUGCCACCAGGAUGCAACUACCUUAUCCCAUCUCACAUUUGGUCUCAUAGCUUGGACAAGCCAUAAACUCGAAAAGUUACGAGUAUUUUUCAACAGCUGCAACUUCAUUAUGUGACUGAUGAUGUACACCAGGAGGAGUAUGAGCUGCAACAGGAACAGGAGUAGGAGCCGCCGCAGAAGGCAACCAUUCACUUUUAGCGAAAAGGCGUCCUGGCGGAACUACUUGUACUCAAUCACUUGGAAAAUAUUAUGAACUCAAACGAUAAUUCCUAGGGAGCAAUACAGGAUCGACCCGAUACAGGAUCGACCCGAUCGAAUUCACUUGGUUCCAAGAUAUACAUCACUUUUGCCUAAUCACUGGUAACUGGCGGACAUUAUGUUGUCGUUUUCGAAACUUAAGCCAAGCUAAUUUUAGUUUGUAAUAUAUAUAUGAUCUUCCUUAUGCUUUAUUUCUGCAUAGUU